Molecule: ribosomal RNA, 66 nt
Filed under: SAR324 cluster bacterium
Lineage: Bacteria; Deltaproteobacteria
Description: partial 16S ribosomal RNA
Rfam family: Bacterial small subunit ribosomal RNA
Source: RNAcentral
AAACUUGAGAGUUUGAUCCUGGCUCAGAACGAACGCUGGCGGCAUGCCUUAUACAUGCAAGUCGAA